GAUGAACGCUGGCGGUAUGCCUAACACAUGCAAGUCGUACGAGAGUUUUUAACUCUAGUGGCGGACGGGUGAGUAACACGUGAGAAUUUGCCUUUAGGAGGGGGAGUAACAAAUUGGAAACGGAAAUAGCUAAUACCCCACUAUGCUUUUGUAGUGAAAUGGAUUUUAUUCCGCCUAGAGAGAAGCUCGCGGCUGAUUAGCUUGUUGGUAAGGUAAGAGCUUACCAAGGCGACGAUCAGUAUCUGGUUUGAGAGGACGAUCAGACACACUGGAACUGAGACACGGUCCAGACUCCUACGGGAGGCAGCACGUGGGGAAUUUUCCGCAAUGGGCGAAAGCCUGACGGAGCAAUACCGCGUGAGGGAAGAA
Molecule: ribosomal RNA, 369 nt
Filed under: uncultured bacterium
Lineage: Bacteria
Description: bacterial SSU rRNA
Rfam family: Bacterial small subunit ribosomal RNA
Source: RNAcentral